Molecule: ribosomal RNA, 504 nt
Filed under: uncultured bacterium
Lineage: Bacteria
Description: partial 16S ribosomal RNA
Rfam family: Bacterial small subunit ribosomal RNA
Source: RNAcentral
AUUGAACGCUGGCGGCAUGCCUUACACAUGCAAGUCGAACGGCAGCAUGGAGAGCUUGCUCUCUGAUGGCGAGUGGCGAACGGGUGAGUAAUGCAUCGGAACGUACCGUGUAAUGGGGGAUAACGUAGCGAAAGUUACGCUAAUACCGCAUACGACCUGAGGGUGAAAGCAGGGGAUCGCAAGACCUUGCGUUAUACGAGCGGCCGAUGUCAGAUUAGCUAGUUGGUGAGGUAAAGGCCCACCAAGGCGACGAUCUGUAGCGGGUCUGAGAGGAUGAUCCGCCACACUGGGACUGAGACACGGCCCAGACUCCUACGGGAGGCAGCAGUGGGGAAUUUUGGACAAUGGGGGCAACCCUGAUCCAGCCAUGCCACGUGAGUGAAGAAGGCCUUCGGGUUGUAAAGCUCUUUCGGCCGGGAAGAAAUCGCACAGGCUAAUACUCUGUGUGGAUGACGGUACCGGCAUAAGAAGCACCGGCUAACUACGUGCCAGCAGCCGCCGUAA